RNAcentral lists this ribosomal RNA (510 nucleotides) under uncultured bacterium. RNAcentral describes it as "partial 16S ribosomal RNA". It matches the Rfam family "Bacterial small subunit ribosomal RNA", at positions 28 to 507 of the family's 1533-position model. The record is from RNAcentral.
GACGAACGCUGGCGGCGUGCUUAACACAUGCAAGUCGAACGAAGAGCGAUGGAAGCUUGCUUCUAUCAAUCUUAGUGGCGAACGGGUGAGUAACGCGUAAUCAACCUGCCCUUCAGAGGGGGACAACAGUUGGAAACGACUGCUAAUACCGCAUACGAUCCAAUCUCGGCAUCGGGACUGGAUGAAAGGUGGCCUCUAUUUAUAAGCUAUCACUGAAGGAGGGGAUUGCGUCUGAUUAGCUAGUUGGAGGGGUAACGGCCCACCAAGGCGAUGAUCAGUAGCCGGUCUGAGAGGAUGAACGGCCACAUUGGGACUGAGACACGGCCCAGACUCCUACGGGAGGCAGCAGUGGGGAAUCUUCCGCAAUGGACGAAAGUCUGACGGAGCAACGCCGCGGGAGUGAUGACGGCCUUCGGGUUGUAAAGCUCUGUUAAUCGGGACGAAUGGUUCUUGUGCGAAUAGUGCGAGGAUUUGACGGUACCGGAAUAGAAAGCCACGGCUAACUACGUG